UACGGAGGGUGCGAGCGUUGUCCGGAAUCACUGGGCGUAAAGGGCGCGUAGGUGGCCUGUGGAAGUCUGCGGUGAAAGCCCGGCGCUCAACGCCGGGUCUGCCGUGGAUACUCUCGGGCUUGAGCUUACUAGAGGCAGAUGGAAUUCCGGGUGUAGCGGUGGAAUGCGUAGAUAUCUGGAGGAACACCGGUGGCGAAGGCGGCAUCCUGGACCAACACGUGACGCUGAGGAGCGAAAGCC
This 240-nucleotide ribosomal RNA is filed under the name uncultured bacterium. RNAcentral describes it as "partial 16S ribosomal RNA". It matches the Rfam family "Bacterial small subunit ribosomal RNA", at positions 524 to 761 of the family's 1533-position model. The record is from RNAcentral.